GUCAUCAGAGUGUCGAUAGAUAUACCGUGAGGGUCAUCGGUAAGUCGAAUCAAGCGCUAAAGUGCCACCGACAUGGGUCUGGUCCAUUCGAUUCGAUAUAGUCCUUGAUCUAAGCUGGCGGAUCUGCCAUCAGACGGUCGACGUCACAGAGGUCUAGGCUACAGGAAGGCUACUGACACUUCCAGGUUACAGGCGUGCAAAGUCCGUACAUGAGAUUCUGGAGGGACAGACUAGCCGCGGAAGCUGAUCCCUGUGUAGAAAAAGCCAUAGACGUCCCAAGCGCGGAACAGUCAGUGCGUAGCAACACAAGGGAUCAGACAUACGCUCGUCAGUCAUCGCUCGUAAAUCGUAUGUCGAACUUGGAGGGUUGAUCACCUUGGAGGACUAGCCUCCCUCUGCUAAGACGUGUAAAGUCCACGUCUUGAGUAGUGGUGCCCGCAAUGGUGACAGCGGAAAUGACAUGAGGCUGGACAGCCCGACUGGGGCGCAUGUGGUCAGUACGAUGCAACGCGAAGAGCCUCCCCUACUCUAGCCAUGCAGAGAACAUAGAAGAGACCCGUUGUUCCCCUCGGAAACUCUGAGACAAGUGCUGCAAUUCUGCCUUCAGCUCGUGUUCUGACUGAAAGGGCUAAGCACCGCAAAGAGCUUCAUCAUACUCGCUUGCAUUGCCAGCAUCACGCUUGGGAACUCAAACAAGAUUCCCAGCGAUAACCUGGAGGAAGAGUCGGAUGCGUGUAUCAGUUCCAGGGCGGCUGGAGAACCUCUCAGCCCAGCCAGCAAUCGUAUACUAAAAGAGAAGCGACCCCACCAGCUCACUAAUCCCAUCUGAGCACAUCUGAAGUCAAGAGGGGAGAAGGCAACUCUCUUCCUCUUGCGACGAAAUGCGGUAUUAGCUACCGUUUCCAGUAGUUAUCCCCCUGCAUCAGGCAGUUUCCCAGACAUUACUCACCCGUACGCCACUCGUCACCCGAGACAAGCUAUGGCUACCUCGUACGACUGCAUUCCAAGCCUACUGUCCAA
RNAcentral lists this ribosomal RNA (1020 nucleotides) under Klebsiella oxytoca. RNAcentral describes it as "partial 16S ribosomal RNA". The record is from RNAcentral. Lineage: Bacteria; Pseudomonadati; Pseudomonadota; Gammaproteobacteria; Enterobacterales; Enterobacteriaceae.